Molecule: long non-coding RNA, 1462 nt
Organism: Bufo bufo (common toad)
Lineage: Eukaryota; Metazoa; Chordata; Amphibia; Anura; Bufonidae
Exons: 3
Source: RefSeq, a predicted model, not a curated record
CGACAUUGAUGUGGAUGGUGACUUGGAUCCAUGUCCUUAUGAGAACGCUGUUGAUGGCAAAAAUCAGAACUCGUGAUCAGAAUGACUCAGUAGUGCAUCUUCAGGCUUUGGGACUGUAUACUUCAGAUGACCGUACAGGAACCAAGCCCUUAUUUUUUAAUGAGCGCCCCCUCUGGGUGAAGCCAGUUAACCAAAGGCUUUGUGUACAAAGGCAAAGAACAUGGUGGGGGAGGAAUCUGGCAUAUUUGCAUUUUCAUGGGAGAAUGUGUCACGGAGAGAAGAGUCACAAACUACUACACUGUACAAACCAUACCGUAACAGAGGGCAGAAAAAGACACCACCAGGGAGCCCAAAAAUAGGUUAUUACUGAGUCUCCUGCCAAGUGAUCAGCUGUUAUCCAUUGAAAAAACCCAGCACCGUCAGAGAUGGAUAGAUCUAAGGAUUGGCAUCUCUACUAUUUUGAAGAUUACUAGGUCCAGUAAGAAAGUGACCAAGGAUGAAGGUUUACACCAUGAAUUCGGCAUAGGGAAAAUUUAUGUAUAACAACAUAAUACACAAUAAGUCCAGUUUCUUUAAAUAACCGAUUUAUUUGAGCGGGUCAACAUCUUUCAAAUAAAAUUCCAAAAAUAUACCUCUGGAUUCGAAAGACUCACCUUUGAAAUGUCACAUUUUGGGAAAAUAAGGCUGUAGAAACGCAAUAAAGACUGAGCACUCCAACCUCUUUGUGAUCAUACAGCCACAGAAAACCUGCCAUGUGUUCUGUACAACAAACUAAAUAAAUUAUCAAAAAAUUUAAAAUCUAAAUGUAAAACAUUGGUCUAUGUGGUAAGAAAAUCAGUCCACACAAUAUUCCUGAGUGUUUACGCAAACCAGCCACCUGAACCCAGACAACAGAUGUACAAGAGGUAUAAGGGGGAAGGGGUGUUAAGUAUGAAUUUUUGUGUGUCUACUGUCAAGUUAAAAGAAAAAUUUGCUAGACCUAAGCAAUUAAUCCUUUACCUAAACAGGUUGCCCGACCUCCAUCGUAAUUUUAGUUAUGGUCUGAAAGUGUUCAGCCUAAUUAAAAAAGGGCACUCACCUAUUUAUUGGUGCUCCAUGAAGCACUAAUAGUCCUGUCCCUUCUCCUUCUGGUCCACAGGGGACUAGAUGUAGGACAUCCUAUCCAUUGUCAGGUGCACUUCAGCAGCCAUUCACUGGUGUCAGCAAGGACGUGUCUCCAAGCGGCAUGUGAUUUCUGAGACCAGUGAAUGGCUGCAGAAGUAAAUGUGACGAUGAAUAAGACUUCGCACUUCAGGUCUACAGUAGACCAGAAAUGGUGAGGACUAGACCUUCAGUGCUGGAAUGGUGCACCGGUGAAUAGGUGAGCGUCUUUCUUUCACUAGGCUGAGCACUUCUAGGGGCCAUAACCCCCACCGAUGAGUUCCUCAUAUGGAAAUCCACGAUGAUUGGUGAGUGUGCGUUA